CAGCAGCCACGGUAAUACAGAGGGUGCGAGCGUUAAUCGGAUUUACUGGGCGUAAAGCGUGCGUAGGCGGCUUCUUAAGUCGGAUGUGAAAUCCCUGAGCUUAACUUAGGAAUUGCAUUCGAUACUGGGAAGCUAGAGUAUGGGAGAGGAUGGUAGAAUUCCAGGUGUAGCGGUGAAAUGCGUAGAGAUCUGGAGGAAUACCGAUGGCGAAGGCAGCCAUCUGGCCUAAUACUGACGCUGAGGUACGAAAGCAUGGGGAGCAAACAGGAUUAGAUACCCCCGUAGUCCUUGUCUCUUAUAC
This 301-nucleotide ribosomal RNA is filed under the name uncultured bacterium. Its description in RNAcentral is "partial 16S ribosomal RNA". It matches the Rfam family "Bacterial small subunit ribosomal RNA", at positions 509 to 807 of the family's 1533-position model. The record is from RNAcentral.